GAAGACAAUAGUCUAAUCAUAACUUCGGGACAAGAGUUGCAUCUUUUUACUAACAGUUAAUAUUUUUGUAAAAACAUAUCUGCAGACAUUGAGUUAAAAGGCUAUAAUAUGAAGGAUUAAAGCUUAAAGAUGCAGGAGCCUAAACCGUGUCUCAAAUUGGAGCAUUUAUCAUUAGGCCAAUCAAUGGUAACAUGCAGAUCAACCAUUGAUAGUUUGAGUCUAAUCAUAACUUCAGGACAAGAGUUGCAUCUCUUUUAAUAACAGUAACAUUUCUGUAAGAAUAUAUCUGCAGAUUUUGAGUUAAAAGGCUUUAAUAUGAAGGAGUAAAGCUUGAAGGUGCAAAAGCCUAAACCAUGUCUAACUUGGCAGUCGGCACAUCUAUCAUUAAACCGAUCAAUGGUAACAAGCAGAUUAACCAUUGGUAGUUCGAUACAACGAACCAAACACAGCUAAAGCUGUUUGGUUCCUUCACUAAUAGUCUUUGUUUCUUUCUAAUGCGUCUAAUGCAGAGCAGACUAGCAGAGGGACACACGCUACCCUCUCAAGCUAUCCACAUACCAUAGUGAGUCUCUGAUUGUAGUAUGCAAUUCUGUUAAGCUCCCAAGCAGGACUUGAAUAGGAAUAUCUCAUGAAUGAGUAGUUGUAGAGGUACCAAAGGCAAAGCCCUUGUGAUUUGGGUUCUCUUUGUUGUGAAUGGACUGCUGCAGUCCAAAGCAACCAGUGUCUUCUUGUUCAUCAGGAGCAAAUAUCUCUCUCAGCAGUUGAGAGUCUAUCUCAAAAAAUGAAUAUUCUCCUACAUCAGUGUCAAUCAAGGGACGCGGAUGUCCUUCAAUGAUUGACACAUCUGUGUUCAUCUGUUGACUUGCUACUUCUUGAAAUGUAGUUUCAUGAAUAUUAGAAGCCAUAGAUGUACUCCAAUGAUUUCCAUGUAUUGAAUUAUCAGCAUUCUCAUAAUGAUUUUGAUUUUCAAAAUAAAGUGUUCCAUUGAGGCAACUCCUUCCACCUUGUUCAGGGACUGAUACAAAAGAAGUCGUACUAGGAUUUGGACUUCCAAAAUCCAAAACACGAAGGUAAGUUGGCUCACCUUUAUGAUAAGAUGAGUUAGAAGUUAUUUUCAAUGGGUUUUGAUUUUCAAAAUUAAAAUCCAUGAGGCUACUUGUUUCGUUUUUGUCAUAUGUUGAAACAGUAGUUAUCUCAUAUAGAUUUUGAUUUUCAACACCAGAAGCCCAUUGGCAAACUGGGGUACAUGUCUCAUAAGAUGAAGUAACAGUCAUCUCUUUUGGAUUUGGGUUUUUCAAAUCAAAAUCUAUUAGACAACUUGCUUCAAGAAUGUUACAGAAUGAAACAUCAUGUGUAACAUAUGGUUUUGGAGUGAUUGAGAAGUUUUCUGUUGUUUCAAGAUCGUUAAAUGAUG
This 1414-nucleotide unclassified non-coding RNA is filed under the name Hevea brasiliensis (rubber tree). Lineage: Eukaryota; Viridiplantae; Streptophyta; Magnoliopsida; Malpighiales; Euphorbiaceae. The record is from RNAcentral.